GUCCGAAUUCGUUCGACAACAGAGUUUGAUCCUGGCUCAGAACGAACGCUGGCGGCAUGCCGUAAUACAUGCAAGUCGAACGAGAUCUUCGGAUCUAGUGGCGCACGGGUGCGUAACGCGUGGGAAUCUGCCCUUGGGUUCGGAAUAACUUCUGGAAACGGAAGCUAAUACCGGAUGAUGACGUAAGUCCAAAGAUUUAUCGCCCAAGGAUGAGCCCGCGUAGGAUUAGCUAGUUGGUGGGGUAAAGGCUCACCAAGGCGACGAUCCUUAGCUGGUCUGAGAGGAUGAUCAGCCACACUGGGACUGAGACACCGCCCAGACUCCUACGGGAGGCAGCAGUAGGGAAUAUUGGACAAUGGGCGAAAGCCUGAUCCAGCAAUGCCGCGUGAGUGAUGAAGGCCUUAGGGUUGUAAAGCUCUUUUACCCGGGAUGAUAAUGACAGUACCGGGAGAAUAAGCUCCGGCUAACUCCGUGCCAGCAGCCGCGGUAAUACGGAGGGAGCUAGCGUUGUUCGGAAUUACUGGGCGUAAAGCGCACGUAGGCGGCUAUUCAAGUCAGAGGUGAAAGCCCGGGGCUCAACCCCGGAACUGCCUUUGAAACUAGAUAGCUUGAAUCCAGGAGAGGUGAGUGGAAUUCCGAGUGUAGAGGUGAAAUUCGUAGAUAUUCGGAAGAACACCAGUGGCGAAGGCGGCUCACUGGACUGGUAUUGACGCUGAGGUGCGAAAGCGUGGGGAGCAAACAAGAUUAGAUACCCUGGUAGUCCACGCCGUAAACGAUGAUAACUAGCUGUCAGGGCACAUGGUGUUUUGGUGGCGCAGCUAACGCAUUAAGUGUCCGCCUGGGGUGC
RNAcentral lists this ribosomal RNA (847 nucleotides) under Sphingobium yanoikuyae. RNAcentral describes it as "bacterial SSU rRNA". It matches the Rfam family "Bacterial small subunit ribosomal RNA", at positions 1 to 881 of the family's 1533-position model. Lineage: Bacteria; Pseudomonadati; Pseudomonadota; Alphaproteobacteria; Sphingomonadales; Sphingobiaceae. The record is from RNAcentral.